Molecule: ribosomal RNA, 400 nt
Filed under: uncultured eukaryote
Lineage: Eukaryota
Description: bacterial SSU rRNA
Rfam family: Eukaryotic small subunit ribosomal RNA
Source: RNAcentral
CAAUAGCGUAUAUUAAAGUUGUUGCGGUUAAAAGCUCGUAGUUGGAUUUUUGUAAAGAAGCAGGAGUCCGUCUUCGGAUGUGUACUCAUUGUUUUCUUUGCAUUAGGGUCUUGUGUUCUUUAUUGAGCGCGGACCCGGUUACUGUGAGGAAAUUAGAGUGUUUCAAGCAGGUAUUUGCCUUGAAUACAUUGCAUGGAAUAACAAAACAGGCUUUGACACUGCUUUGUUGGUUACGGAGUUAAAGACGUGAUUAAUAGGGAUAGUUGGGGGCAUUCGUAUUUGGCUGUCAGAGGUGAAAUUCUUGGAUUUGUCAAAGACGAACUACUGCGAAAGCAUUUGCCAAGGAUGUUUUCAUUAAUCAAGAACGAAAGUUAGGGGAUCGAAGACGAUCAGAUACCGU